This 698-nucleotide long non-coding RNA is filed under the name Hordeum vulgare. RNAcentral's name for it is "long non-coding RNA (HVUL_LNC021265)". The record is from RNAcentral. Lineage: Eukaryota; Viridiplantae; Streptophyta; Magnoliopsida; Poales; Poaceae.
UUCGAGCAAUUAAUUGGCAAAAAUUUGAGAAAAUGCAAAACUUGUCAAAUUCAUUUUCUGCUGCCAAGGUAUGAUCAUUUGGGUAUGUAAGCUUAAGUUGAACCGUAGAAGCCUAUAUGAUCAUCCUAAAUGGCAGGCAUCCAAAGUUUUCGAAGUUUUGGCUAUGUUUGAUAGUAAAGUAUUAAAAAAUCAAAGUAUUCAAAAACUACAGUAUUUUAGCAUGUAGAUAUAAGAUACCCCAGUUUUCAGAUAUCACAAUAUUUUAGAGUAUUGAGAAUACUUUGAGCUGUUUGGCUAAUGUUUGUAUAUAUCGACGUAAGUUAGCUAGCUAGUUGCUUUCUCCUUAGCUACCCGGCUUUUGCAAAUUCAACGGCCAUGCACAUAGGACACCCACACACACAAACUUUGAACGGGCACACAUUGUACCCACCAGGCUACGCAGAGUAGCAGCCCACCUUAGACUGACGCACGACUGCUAACUAUAUAGCAGUAGCGCGGUUCGCGGACCUGCACUACUGCUGUUCUACCCUUAUCCUCUUACCCGCCCGCGCGUUGCUCACUCUCCCAUCCACCGUCUCUCUAGCUCAUCGCCCGUGGCUCCCGUAUCGUCGUCGUCGUUGACGCACCGCCGUCCUCUCUCCUCCAUUGCCGUAAGCCUCCUCACCCCUCGCCUUGCCCUCCUCUCUCCUUGAUCCUCG